This 594-nucleotide ribosomal RNA is filed under the name uncultured Dyadobacter sp. RNAcentral describes it as "bacterial SSU rRNA". It matches the Rfam family "Bacterial small subunit ribosomal RNA", at positions 102 to 693 of the family's 1533-position model. Lineage: Bacteria; Pseudomonadati; Bacteroidota; Cytophagia; Cytophagales; Spirosomataceae. The record is from RNAcentral.
ACGGGUGCGUAACGCGUAUGCAACCUACCUAUCACUGGGGGAUAGCCCGGGGAAACCCGGAUUAAUACCGCAUAAAACAGGGGCACCGCAUGGUGAUAUUUGUUAAAGAUUUAUUGGUGAUAGAUGGGCAUGCGUUCGAUUAGCUAGUUGGCGGGGUAACGGCCCACCAAGGCGACGAUCGAUAGGGGAGCUGAGAGGUUGAUCCCCCACACGGGCACUGAGAUACGGGCCCGACUCCUACGGGAGGCAGCAGUAGGGAAUAUUGGGCAAUGGAUGCAAGUCUGACCCAGCCAUGCCGCGUGCCGGAUGAAGGCCCUCAGGGUUGUAAACGGCUUUUAUUCGGGAAGAAGAGCAGGGAUGCGUCCUUGUGUGACGGUACCGAAUGAAUAAGCACCGGCUAACUCCGUGCCAGCAGCCGCGGUAAUACGGAGGGUGCGAGCGUUGUCCGGAUUUAUUGGGUUUAAAGGGUGCGUAGGUGGCUGUUUAAGUCAGUGGUGAAAUACGGUUGCUCAACAAUCGAGGUGCCAUUGAUACUGAAUAGCUUGAAAUAAUUGGAGGCUGCCGGAAUGGAUGGUGUAGCGGUGAAAUGCAUAG